CAUGGUAUCUUGAUAGGGUGAACGAGGGACUCUUCUUUGCCGCCUAUAUUAGCCGUUAAUCCCUGUCGCCGCAUGGCUCCGCCGCCCCUGCGACAAAUGGAUUUUGUUCAGGAGAAGCGUGCUUCAGAGGAAGCGACUCUCUCCUCUGCUCACUCCCUUGGACUUUUCCAAGCUCGGAGCUUGCCCGCCACAUGCCCUGCCCUUCCCGAAAUGACCCUUUCCCUUACCUUAUUCUGCAAAUAUUUCCCUCACAAGCCACGCGAAGAAGAGUGACACCUAUGCUCGAGCAGUUCCUACAUAAACUAGGAGAGAUGAAAAGGAAGGAGAAAAAGAGUUGAAGAAGAAUUUAUUGAAGAUUAAGAUGGACUUUCAAGACGACUUUGAAGAGGAUGCUGCAAAUCUUUAUUUAAGCUUCUUGUCUAUGAAAGUGCACAUAAACAAGCACACAUUCUAUAAAUUUUCAGGAGGCGCAAUGUUCUUCUAAUCAAUUUGGAUCUUCUGAAGGUAGGAACUGGAGCUGGAGGAGACAGUAUCUCUCUUGUUGGUACAUGGUGGGACAAAGGAAUUACUUAUUACAGAAGAGGUCUCAGUGUCAUUUUACGGUGACUUAAAAAUUAUAUGCUUUUAAAACAAGUGCAAAAUCGACCAUUUUUGCACAUUGAGAAGCUUUCCAGUAUUUAUCUAUAAGCAUUUCACCCACUAAUAAAGUAGCUUCUGCAAUGUUUGUUAA
Phoenix dactylifera (date palm) is the source of this 730-nucleotide long non-coding RNA. RefSeq lists it as uncharacterized. The record is from RefSeq and is a predicted model, not a curated record. NCBI's taxonomy places the organism in Eukaryota, Viridiplantae, Streptophyta, Magnoliopsida, Arecales, Arecaceae.